UACAGAGGGGGCAAGCGUUAUUCGGAAUCAUUGGGCGUAAAGGGCGCGUAGGUGGUUCUGUAUGUCUACCGUGAAAGCGUACGGCUCAACCGUAUUUUGUCGGUGGAAACUGCAGGACUUGAGGCUGGGAGGGGCUGGUGGAAUUCCCUGUGUAGCGGUGAAAUGCGUAGAGAUGGGGGAGAACACUCGUGGCGAAGGCGGCCAGCUAGACCAGUUCUGACACUGAGGCGCGACAGCGUGGGGAGCAAACAGG
Molecule: ribosomal RNA, 253 nt
Filed under: uncultured bacterium
Lineage: Bacteria
Description: partial 16S ribosomal RNA
Rfam family: Bacterial small subunit ribosomal RNA
Source: RNAcentral